UUCUACAGCCAUGCUACCCUGAACAAGCCUGAUCCUGUCUGAUCUUGGAAGCUAAGCAGGGUCUGACUUGGUUAGUACUUGAAUGGGAGACCAUCUAGGAAGACUAGGUGCUAUAGGUA
RNAcentral lists this ribosomal RNA (119 nucleotides) under Pteropus alecto (black flying fox). The record is from RNAcentral. Lineage: Eukaryota; Metazoa; Chordata; Mammalia; Chiroptera; Pteropodidae.